RNAcentral lists this ribosomal RNA (433 nucleotides) under uncultured bacterium. Its description in RNAcentral is "partial 16S ribosomal RNA". It matches the Rfam family "Bacterial small subunit ribosomal RNA", at positions 29 to 507 of the family's 1533-position model. The record is from RNAcentral.
AACGAACGCUGGCGGCAUGCCUAACACAUGCAGGUCGAACGAGACCUUCGGGUCUAGUGGCGCACGGGUGCGUAACGCGUGGGAACCUGCCCUUAGGUUCGGAAUAACUCCCCGAAAGGGGUGCUAAUACCGGAUAAUGUCUUCGGACCAAAGAUUUAUCGCCUUUGGAUGGGCCCGCGUUGGAUUAGCUAGUUGGUAGGGUAAAAGCCUACCAAGGCGACGAUCCAUAGCUGGUCUGAGAGGAUGAUCAGCCACACUGGGACUGAGACACGGCCCAGACUCCUACGAGAGGCAGCAGUGGGGAAUAUUGGACAAUGGGCGAAAGCCUGAUCCAGCAAUGCCGCGUGAGUGAUGAAGGCCUUAGGGUUGUAAAGCUCUUUUACCCGGGAUGAUAAUGACAGUACCGGGAGAAUAAGCUCCGGCUAACUCCGUG